CGAAUAUAACUCCAAGUUCAAGCCAGCUUACUGAGAUCAUUGAAGCAGUUGAACAUCGAUUCCAAAGAACAAUAGCCAAGCGAAUCUCAGGUGCAGAGCUUGAUAAGAGACCUGCCCACACCUGUCAUGCCACCAUUGCCAACUUCCAACAUAUCUGGAUCUGUCCACACACACACAUGGUAAGAUGGGAAUUACAGAUCAACUUAGAGAACAAAUGGAUGAAGUUGAAUGGGUUUCAAACACAAUCAAUCUCAUACCAUUCCAACCACCAGGUCCUGCAUACUCUGCCCACUUAUCAUUGAUAUCUGCAAUUCUAGUCAUGCUUCAAC
Molecule: long non-coding RNA, 329 nt
Organism: Cucurbita maxima (winter squash)
Lineage: Eukaryota; Viridiplantae; Streptophyta; Magnoliopsida; Cucurbitales; Cucurbitaceae
Exons: 2
Source: RefSeq, a predicted model, not a curated record